RNAcentral lists this ribosomal RNA (436 nucleotides) under uncultured delta proteobacterium. Its description in RNAcentral is "bacterial SSU rRNA". It matches the Rfam family "Bacterial small subunit ribosomal RNA", at positions 1065 to 1500 of the family's 1533-position model. The record is from RNAcentral. Lineage: Bacteria; Deltaproteobacteria.
CCGUGAAGGGUUGGGUUAAGUCCCGCAACGAGCGCAACCCCUAUUGCUAGUUGCCAUCACAUAAUGGUGGGCACUCUAGUGAGACUGCCCGGGUCAACCGGGAGGAAGGUGGGGACGACGUCAAGUCAUCAUGGCCCUUACGUCCAGGGCUACACACGUACUACAAUGGUGGAUACAGAGGGUCGCGAAGCCGCGAGGUCGAGCCAAUCCCAGAAAAUCCAUCCCAGUCCGGAUCGCAGUCUGCAACUCGACUGUGUGAAGUUGGAAUCGCUAGUAAUCCCAGAUCAGCAUGCUGGGGUGAAUACGUUCCCGGGCCUUGUACACACCGCCCGUCACACCACGAAAGCUGGUUCUACCCAAAAUCGACGGACUAACCUUCGGGAGGUAGUCGCCUACGGUAGGGCUGGUAAUUGGGGUGAAGUCGUAACAAGGUAAC